RNAcentral lists this ribosomal RNA (249 nucleotides) under Triticum aestivum (bread wheat). Its description in RNAcentral is "partial small subunit ribosomal RNA". Lineage: Eukaryota; Viridiplantae; Streptophyta; Magnoliopsida; Poales; Poaceae. The record is from RNAcentral.
AUGUUGAGGGUGCCGGCCCAGACCUCCGAGUCCGUCUGUUUGGCCACCGGGAAGGACUCUCCGGUGAGGGUCUGCUCGUCGACCUCGCUCCGCCCGUCGACGACGACGCCGUCUAUCGGAACGACCUCCCCCGCCUUGACAGCGAUCACCGUGUUGACCUUCACGUCCUGGGCCGCGACCACCUGCCCCGUCUCUGCUAGCACGGCGUUCUGUGGUGCCAUGCUCAUCAGCGACGCCAUCCCGGGAUAA